GGGGGACAAAGUAGUUGGUAAUAUUCUAUGAAGGCAACAAACGAUUCACUAUGUACUGAAAAUGAAAUGCUAUUUGUAAAAAAACAACACUCAAGACAGAACUAGCAAAUUGGAGUACAAAAGAUGAAGGUAACAAAAAGCUUAAUAUGGAUAAAGGGAAGGCGCUCGAAAAAUAUGAAAAAGAAUUAGUUACGGCUAUAUGGGGAGAUAGAAUCUACCACACUUGGAGAGAAACAAAUUGAAAAAUAUUCAGAGAGACAGCUAAAAAUACAGAUAUUACAUUUGUACAAAUAAUAAAGAGAUAGCUAAAAGAGUGGAUUUCUUGAAACACAAUAGGAAAGUUAAUAGAUGUAGAUACCUGGUCGAAGAAAUUUGUAACUAGGUGAUACAAAUUUACUUUAUGUGCAGAACAAAAUAGUCCAUAUCAGCAUCAUCCAGCUUAAAAAAUUAAAGAAAAUAAUGUUGUAAAUCCUUACCAUAACAACAUUCCACAUGUAUUCUAGCCUAUCGAUCUUUUAUUACGUACCCUCAAUGGACACAUAUGUUUUCACACUAAUGAGACUUGUAGGAUUCAGACAUUUAUAGGAAGUUUUUUGUCCUUUCUCACCUAAAAUACAAUGGAACUUCAGGACAAAAAAAAUCUUUGCUUAGAGACUUUUUAGAAGCUACACUCAAAUAGCUCACCCUUACUAAAGGAAGAAUGCCCUGAUCAGUUUCACACUGGGAGAAGGAUGGUACCGAUCAGAGAAAGUAGUGCUAAGUAUAUUCUACGCAAAGUUGGGCCUGAGAAGAUUUUAAAUUUUUUGAAUAACUAGACUAGUAAAGUGCAGUUGGCUAGCACCAUCAAUAGUCCCCCUAAAGGAAGAACCCAAGAGUGACUAAUUUUAUUCAUAAUGUAUAUUGGAAAGUGAACAUGUUUAAAGUUGUUUUCCCUUAACAAGUAGUUCAGAAAAUUAUGAGCAUCCAAAUUUAUGAUGAAUAAAAGAUCUACGAAUUCGGUCCAUCCACUAUAGUGGAAAAUUCACCUGUCACAAUACUUCAGAGUCUGCUAUGAGAUAGAGAAACAACCAAUGCAUUACUUCAAACAUGAUCUGGCAUCGUAAAAUGAAAUAUCACUUUCAAGAUAUCAUUUUUUGAUUAUGAGACUAUCGAGAAUUAGACUGCCAAUUGACAGUUCCCUCUAAAAAUUCAAAGUUCUUGGCCACUCUAGGUGUUGUUGGUGCAAACAGUAUUUCGAUGAAAGUAUGGAACACAAGUUUUAUAACAAUGGCUUGGUUAAAUACGUACAAACCUUUAGCAACACGAACAUAAUUAAGGAUAUGACUAAACUACAGUAGUGCACAAAGCAAAAUAACAUUAAGUUAAAAUAAAAGGAAAAAAAACCUAACGGAUACUCAAAAAUUAGGGAAAAUAAAAAAUUUGAAAAAUUUAGACAUUCCACAAAGCAAUUGAGAGUAAAAAUAAUACAAACUUACCUUGAAGAGAAGAAAACGCAAGUGUUGAGAAAACUAAUAAGCCCAUAAGCAGUAAGAAGAGAAGAUUGGUUCUCUUUAAGGAAUAAUAGAAUGUGUACUACAAUUAAAAUAGAGAGAUCUUGUUGCCUACUUAAAUAGAAGGAACUAAGAGACCUUCGGCCUAAUUUCUCUUAAUAAACAUUGAAAUUGACGUACCUUAUUCAUUUUGAUCUUAUAUGUUUCUUGAUUGUCCUCUGGCUAAUUUUCUUCCAACAAAUUGACACUCCUAAUUUUAAACUGAGGGAGCCCUAUGGCUAGAUAAAUUUAGGGUUAAUACAGACUUGGGCAGAAUAAAAAAUCCCCAAAUCUCAAAUAGAAUAGGAGAGAAGAAGGUAUUGCAGAUUUUACACAAAUUUCUCUAUUGGUACUGGAGAUAAGUUGUGCUUCAGUUAGGAUUCUCUAAUAGAAUGAUAGAAGAUCAGAAACUUCAUUAGUGAAUCUAUUUUCUUACGGAGAGGAGGAGUGGGGUAUGUGGACUAUUUUUUUAUGGAGAGGAGGGGUGGCGUAUGUCG
RNAcentral lists this long non-coding RNA (2026 nucleotides) under Solanum tuberosum (potato). Its description in RNAcentral is "long non-coding RNA (STUB_LNC002531)". The record is from RNAcentral. Lineage: Eukaryota; Viridiplantae; Streptophyta; Magnoliopsida; Solanales; Solanaceae.